This 442-nucleotide ribosomal RNA is filed under the name Escherichia coli. RNAcentral describes it as "bacterial SSU rRNA". It matches the Rfam family "Bacterial small subunit ribosomal RNA", at positions 338 to 796 of the family's 1533-position model. The record is from RNAcentral. Lineage: Bacteria; Pseudomonadati; Pseudomonadota; Gammaproteobacteria; Enterobacterales; Enterobacteriaceae.
CCUACGGGUGGCUGCAGUGGGGAAUAUUGCACAAUGGGGGAAACCCUGAUGCAGCGACGCCGCGUGAGUGAAGAAGUAUUUCGGUAUGUAAAGCUCUAUCAGCAGGGAAGAAGAAAGACGGUACCUGACUAAGAAGCCCCGGCUAACUACGUGCCAGCAGCCGCGGUAAUACGUAGGGGGCGAGCGUUAUCCGGAUUUACUGGGUGUAAAGGGAGCGUAGACGGCCAUGCAAGCCAGGAGUGAAAGCCCGGGGCCCAACCCCGGGACUGCUCUUGGAACUGCGUGGCUGGAGUGCAGGAGGGGCAGGCGGAAUUCCUGGUGUAGCGGUGAAAUGCGUAGAUAUCAGGAGGAACACCGGUGGCGAAGGCGGCCUGCUGGACUGCAACUGACGUUGAGGCUCGAAAGCGUGGGGAGCAAACAGGAUUAGAUACCCUAGUAGUCC